Molecule: long non-coding RNA, 933 nt
Organism: Felis catus (domestic cat)
Lineage: Eukaryota; Metazoa; Chordata; Mammalia; Carnivora; Felidae
Exons: 3
Source: RefSeq, a predicted model, not a curated record
CACUUACCAUGUGUCCAAUGUUCUAUUUGGCAUCAUCGAUGUAAAGAUAAAUAAGAGUUAAUCUUGCCCUUGGGAGAUUGCUUUCUUGCAGGGAUGAUAUAUAGAUGCACAGAGCUAAAUAACAUGUGAAAUGCCACAGUAAGUUUAUUAAUUAUAUAUUGGAGAUCGUGGAAGAAGGAACUAGUAACAUUGCUUAGGGACAGAUAUAGGGGAGGAGGGAGGCCUCAAUGAAGGGCUGUCAUUUCAGUUAAGCUUUUAUGUGUAAGAAGGAUUUAAGCAAGUCAAACGGUGACUCUCAGGACCUAUAAGGAAGCAAUUGGAAUGGGGGCAAGGAGGGGCAGUUCAAUUUUGGGUGAUUAUACCACUUUUAUACAUGUUGCAAACUAUUACUCUGGCCCUUCACAAACUUAUGUCUUAACUUCUCUCAGGCAGACAUUCAUCAACUAGUCUUUCUUACUUCUAGUUGUAGGAUUAUCUGCUUUUUCCCAGUCAUAAUGCAGACCUUUCUGAUGAGGACUUUGAGGAAUGCUGAAGGCCUGAAACAAGUGAACAGAACUUUGCUCCAUUGAUGUGCAGAGAUUUUUCUGCUGGACUCCUGGACUCUCAUAAAGCACCUACUUACAAAGAACCCUGCAAACAAGAAACACCAGUCUCAUACUCUCCUAUCCUGAAAGUUGAAGCCAAUAGAAGUAGCUUCACUCGGCAUACAGCAAAAGAAUAGCUGACUUGGGAAAGAGCUUAAAUGUCUAUGUGUUUUCCUAGGUUUUCCUGAGGUGUUUUGCCCUAGUGUCAGUGAACACCAUGUGAUGGCAACUGUGGGUGAUUUGGGAUUUAGAGACCUGAAUUCUAGCCUUUGUUCUGCCUGUUUCUAGCUGUGUGACUCUAUGGAAUUCAAUGUUAGUUUAUUUGCAAAAUAAAGAUUUAUGAACAUUA